RNAcentral lists this ribosomal RNA (599 nucleotides) under Enterobacter hormaechei. RNAcentral describes it as "bacterial SSU rRNA". It matches the Rfam family "Bacterial small subunit ribosomal RNA", at positions 944 to 1533 of the family's 1533-position model. Lineage: Bacteria; Pseudomonadati; Pseudomonadota; Gammaproteobacteria; Enterobacterales; Enterobacteriaceae. The record is from RNAcentral.
GUUUAAUUCGAUGCAACGCGAAGAACCUUACCUACUCUUGACAUCCAGAGAACUUAGCAGAGAUGCUUUGGUGCCUUCGGGAACUCUGAGACAGGUGCUGCAUGGCUGUCGUCAGCUCGUGUUGUGAAAUGUUGGGUUAAGUCCCGCAACGAGCGCAACCCUUAUCCUUUGUUGCCAGCGGUUAGGCCGGGAACUCAAAGGAGACUGCCAGUGAUAAACUGGAGGAAGGUGGGGAUGACGUCAAGUCAUCAUGGCCCUUACGAGUAGGGCUACACACGUGCUACAAUGGCGCAUACAAAGAGAAGCGACCUCGCGAGAGCAAGCGGACCUCAUAAAGUGCGUCGUAGUCCGGAUUGGAGUCUGCAACUCGACUCCAUGAAGUCGGAAUCGCUAGUAAUCGUGGAUCAGAAUGCCACGGUGAAUACGUUCCCGGGCCUUGUACACACCGCCCGUCACACCAUGGGAGUGGGUUGCAAAAGAAGUAGGUAGCUUAACCUUCGGGAGGGCGCUUACCACUUUGUGAUUCAUGACUGGGGUGAAGUCGUAACAAGGUAACCGUAGGGGAACCUGCGGUUGGAUCACCUCCUUACCUUAAAGAA